This 440-nucleotide ribosomal RNA is filed under the name uncultured bacterium. RNAcentral describes it as "partial 16S ribosomal RNA". It matches the Rfam family "Bacterial small subunit ribosomal RNA", at positions 338 to 795 of the family's 1533-position model. The record is from RNAcentral.
CCUACGGGUGGCUGCAGUGGGGAAUAUUGCACAAUGGGGGAAACCCUGAUGCAGCGACGCCGCGUGUGUGAAGACGUAAUUCGUUAUGUAAAGCUCUAUCAGCAGGGAAGAAAAUGACGGUACCUGAGUAAGAAGCCCCGGCUAACUACGUGCCAGCAGCCGCGGUAAAACGUAGGGGGCAAGCGUUAGCCGGAUUUACUGGGUGGAAAGGGAGCGUAGACGGGGGUGGAAGGCUGGAUGGAAAGGCUGGGGCUCAACCCCCGGGUGGCUCUGGAAACUGUAGGGCUGGAGUGCAGGAGAGGUAAGUGGAAUUCCUAGUGUAGCGGUGAAAUGCGUAGAUAUUAGGAGGAACACCAGUGGCGAAGGCGGCUUACUGGACUGUAACUGACGUUGAGGCUCGAAAGCGUGGGGAGCAAACAGGAUUAGAUACCCCUGUAGUC